AUUGAACGCUGGCGGCAUGCUUUACACAUGCAAGUCGAACGGUAACAGGCCUUCGGGUGCUGACGAGUGGCGAACGGGUGAGUAAUGCAUCGGAACGUGCCCAGAGGUGGGGGAUAACGCAGCGAAAGCUGUGCUAAUACCGCAUGCGAUCUGAGGAUGAAAGCGGGGGACCAGGCAGCAAUGUUUGGCCUCGCGCCUUUGGAGCGGCCGAUGUCAGAUUAGGUAGUUGGUGGGGUAAAGGCCUACCAAGCCGACGAUCUGUAGCUGGUCUGAGAGGACGACCAGCCACACUGGGACUGAGACACGGCCCAGACUCCUACGGGAGGCAGCAGUGGGGAAUUUUGGACAAAGGGCGCAAGCCUGAUCCAGCAAUGCCGCGUGCGGGAAGAAGGCCUUCGGGUUGUAAACCGCUUUUGUACGGAACGAAAAGGCUCUGGCUAAUACCUGGGGCUGAUGACGGUACCGUAAGAAUAAGCACCGGCUAACUACGUG
This 492-nucleotide ribosomal RNA is filed under the name uncultured bacterium. RNAcentral describes it as "partial 16S ribosomal RNA". It matches the Rfam family "Bacterial small subunit ribosomal RNA", at positions 29 to 507 of the family's 1533-position model. The record is from RNAcentral.